This 271-nucleotide ribosomal RNA is filed under the name Chamaesaura anguina. RNAcentral describes it as "partial 16S large subunit ribosomal RNA". Lineage: Eukaryota; Metazoa; Chordata; Lepidosauria; Squamata; Cordylidae. The record is from RNAcentral.
GCCUAAUUACAGCCCAGCUAAUUUUACUAAAAUAUUUCAUUAACUUAAAACAAAUCAUUUGAUUAAAAAAGUAUUUGAGAAAGAACUUUAAAGUCGGCGCAGUAAUUACCGCAAGGGACGACUGAAAGAAAAAUGAAACACUAACGCAAAACAAAGCAAAGCUUAAUCCUUGUACCUUUUGCAUCAUGAUUUAGCAAGCAAACUCAGACAUAGAGCCCUAAAGCCUGGCUUCCCGAAACUCCGUGAGCUACUUCAAGGCAAUACAUGAAUC